This 73-nucleotide transfer RNA is filed under the name Polyangiaceae bacterium. RNAcentral's name for it is "tRNA-Pro". It matches the Rfam family "tRNA". From Rfam's summary of the family: Transfer RNA (tRNA) molecules are approximately 80 nucleotides in length. The record is from RNAcentral. Lineage: Bacteria; Pseudomonadati; Myxococcota; Polyangiales; Polyangiaceae.
CAGGGUGUGGCGUAGCAGCGAACGCACGAGGCUGGGGGCCUCGGGAUCGGGGGUGCGAGUCCCUCCACCCUGA